This 253-nucleotide ribosomal RNA is filed under the name uncultured bacterium. Its description in RNAcentral is "partial 16S ribosomal RNA". It matches the Rfam family "Bacterial small subunit ribosomal RNA", at positions 524 to 776 of the family's 1533-position model. The record is from RNAcentral.
GACGUAGGGCGCGAGCGUUGUCCGGAUUUAUUGGGCGUAAAGAGCGUGUAGGCGGCCAACUAAGUCCUGCGUGAAAUCUCGGGGCUCAACCCCGAGCGGUCGUGGGAAACUGGUUGGCUAGAGUGCGGGAGAGGAGAGUGGAAUUCCUGGUGUAGCGGUGAAAUGCGCAGAUAUCAGGAAGAACACCCGUGGCGAAGGCGGCUCUCUGGAACGCAACUGACGCUGAGACGCGAAAGCGUGGGGAGCAAACAGG